UCUAUUCCUUAUAUACAGCUCAGUCAGACUGAAACAUCUGUGUUUUGAGCUGGAAGUUGAAAAGUAUGAAUGCGUCGUUGGGAAGAAAAAUCUUGACGAACAAAGAAAGGACGUUCAAAAGACGAAACUUUUCGAAUUUUUACAAACGAAGCAUUCAGAGCUGUAAAAAUGACGGUUUUUCCAUAGUUUGAUGUACAUCCAGUUAGCUUCUUGCUAACACAUUUUUCGGACUGUUUUGAUAUAUAACAUUUUAACAAGGUGAAAAGGGGCACGUCGCCACCUACUGUAGCGGAGGUAUACAUGCUUCUGUCAGUAAUUUGCCCAGUGCUUGUAAACCGGGAUAAGGACAGUUGUCUGGUUAAAACCUCUGACUGAACUGUAACCGUAGCUUGGACUUAAAACUUGUCUCUGAUGGUCUUGUUUGCUUUUUGUAGCUUACAUAGAGGAAUCAAGCCAUUUGAAUAAAACAGGUUUAACUCUGUGUUAAAUCUAAACAGUGUAGCAGAGUUAAGAGACAGUUAGACCUUCAGUCUGACUCGAAUCUUGUGUCAGGGUCAUUUUUUUACAUGUUGCCCUGCUCUUGGUUGCACUUGUGAUUUGUAUUACCUCUGUAGACAUCAUGUAAGGAGUUUAUCUUGUGUGAGAUCAGAUGAGAAGAUGCUGCAGGUGAACAUACAAGCAAUCUCAGUUCUAUAUUAUUAGGACCAAACAAAAGCAUUAAAACAUACUUUAUACAGGGGGAAAGGUCUGUGUGUUCAAGUCUAAAAUAUUCCAGACUGAGUCCUGAUUUUCCAGGAUCUGUGGCUUUAGUCUGAGUCCUGUUCCUAACACCUGUAAAAUAUACUUUGUUAAAAGCGCUCCUCUUAAGAUGCUGGUAUAAAACAUCCUUUUUCUUGCGUUGUUAUAACUCUUUUAAAAUCUAGACCUAGCAACUCUUUCCAUGUCAAAAUUCAUUGCUAAAGAAAUCCUCUCUACCUACAACACAUGCUGACAGCCCGCUGACUCACAAACUGAAUCUCCUCAGUAAGCUGCAGGAAAACAAGUCAAGUUUUCGAGCUCGGUGAGUAAACAGAAAUCAAGGAAGCACUUUACCGGUGACAGUCGGCCUAAGCACCUCUUUCUUCUCUGUUAGCGUUUCUGUUCCAUUUGUCAGGUUCACUUGGCUUGUGUGCCAGUGUUGUCUAUUAGGUGUGUUUUCACUGUGCUGAGCACUACAGUAAAGGUCUGAAUUGAGAGGAAUGAGACACAAAGAGAGGAGAAGAAAUGAGUUUAUCAGCCCCAGGAGUCACAGCAGUAAUUAAUCAGCGUUUGGCCCAAAGAAUAGUGAAGAAUAUGAUUGAUUUGAAUGAUUUUUAAUAUUUAAAUGUAUAAAUGUGACUCUAAAGACACAAACACCUCUCCUGAAAUCACCUUCAUAUUGCAGCAGGUGUGAUAAUUCCUCAAGUGACACUAAGACGGGGGCAUCCAAGGUGCACAAGCCCAUCAAUGAGCGACAGUGGAAACAGCGUUGAAUUUCACUUCCUGAUGUCAGUGAAGAGGGGGAGCCAGUCACAGGCAGCCUCCCAGCUGCCCCUCAUCCCGUGUUUUCCACCAGAGGAUCCUGGGCUCAAAGAAAAGAUGUGCUUAAUAAUUCAGAGCCCUGAAUGAACACCACCCAACACCGCCACAAAAGGCAAGAUCAAACUUUUGGCAAAGCCGACGCGGCAGAGGGGCCGAUAGUGUUUCCCCAGCGUUAGCUAACUGUACAUUGACCAUAUGGACAUCAUAAUCACCCACGGGAUGAUUCAGCAGAUUCUUGAUCUGGAGCCCAAAAUCACACGACACCUUAAUUAGCUGGUGUUGAUAUCGCCCUUCAGAGCGCUAAUUUGUCACUGCCAACAAAACAGCUCCUGGCAUGAAGGGGUCUGUUAGAGUUUGGAGCAUUUAAGGUGACAGGAAUCGAGCAAAGGUGGAAAAAAAUCCUCCCUGACAGGUAGCUUUAACACUUAUUUGUUUCAUCAGUGAUUUCACUCUGCAUGUGUACAGUUGAUUAUCAGGAAGUGAGCUCAACUUUGCCUUCCUGGACUAAUACAUGCAGCCAUCACUGAAUUAUUUGAAACUGUGUUUAUACCCAGUAAGGUGUAAAUAAUUGCCGGCCUCCUCUGGAGGCGUAGCCACCAUGAAGCGAUGAGUUGAAAAGGUCAGACGUGUUCUGCACGCCGGCUCUAAAGUGGUUUAUUAGCAUCCCAACGACAUAUUCAGGAGAUCGUCUGAGACAUAAUUACCUGGAUAAGGUACAGAUGAAUACUGUAUUUGGGGGAGAAGGCAAGGUUGGUUGGAUAUUGGCUUUGUCUCCAUUAACCUGGAGCACGGUGUUAAAGGAUCUGUUUGUGGAGAGAAAAUGACAGCGAGUCGGGCUGACGGGGCCGGACUGAGACAGUUAAAGGCCCCUCGCUGCAUAGGAUAAUUAAUAAAUAAAAUACCAGGGGAGCCCCUGCCAUGCCUCCGUCUAUGACAGGGGCUGUCUCCAGUGCGCUAAAGCAUUAAAUGACCAAUUUCUGUCAGACUAACUUCCACAACGCUCUCCCUCUCUCUUUCUCUCGCUCUCUCUUUUGCUUGCCCUCUCGUCUCCACUCCUCUCACCCCUCUCUCUCUCUCUCUCUCUCCCUCGUUCCCUCCCUCCCCUCCCUGCUUCCUCGUUUUUCUGAAGUGGGGCUACUUUGCUCUCUUUGCACUGAGUUUUUCAGCGACUGAUGGCUCUAGUUCAUUUCUGCUGAAUUAAUUGGUCCCUGAAUGAAUUCUGUUGACAGGGCAAUUCAUCAUGUGUUUGGCCUGACAGUGACUGGGUGUUGGGUAGAGGAGGAGGGGAGGGUGGAGGAGGCGCUGGAGAGUGUGUGGAUGUGUGUGUGUGUGUGAGGGUGGGAGCGGUGUGGGGAGGCAGUCAGAGGUGGUGGGGGUUGGUGAUUGUGGCCUCCCACUUUUCUUUCCCCCCUCUGUGGAUCGUCUCUUCCUCUUCUUCUGCAAAAAGCUGGAUGCUCUUGUUGCACAGUUUUACCAAAACUCACACAAACCCAUCCCUCCCCCAAGACUGGGGAGAAGACCCUGGCUCAGCUUGACAGGGGCAUGCAGGUCAGUGCUACCCCUUUUACACAUUUUGACCUUUUGCUCCACACUUCCUCUUUUACCUCAAAUCCCUCCCUGACACUUGAUGUGUGAACACAAACACAGCAAACACCAGCCCUCUGCUCCUUACCUCCUACUGGAGGGUGGCAUAAUCAGGUAGUGAGGCAUAUUUAGUGCUUAAUUACACAAUGUGUCGCACAAUGGCCAUUCAAAACGAUAAUUUAGCUCCUGAAGGGAAAGCGC
This 3345-nucleotide long non-coding RNA is filed under the name Xyrichtys novacula (pearly razorfish). Lineage: Eukaryota; Metazoa; Chordata; Actinopteri; Labriformes; Labridae. The record is from RNAcentral.